Molecule: transfer RNA, 75 nt
Filed under: Pyrinomonadaceae bacterium
Lineage: Bacteria; Pseudomonadati; Acidobacteriota; Blastocatellia; Blastocatellales; Pyrinomonadaceae
Description: tRNA-Asn
Rfam family: tRNA
About the family: Transfer RNA (tRNA) molecules are approximately 80 nucleotides in length.
Source: RNAcentral
GCCCCUCGUAGCUCAGUGGUAGAGCGCCCUUGCAGUUACCUGGGGAGGUCGCAGGUUCGAUCCCUGUCGGGGGCC